RNAcentral lists this ribosomal RNA (468 nucleotides) under uncultured bacterium. RNAcentral's name for it is "partial 16S ribosomal RNA". It matches the Rfam family "Bacterial small subunit ribosomal RNA", at positions 28 to 507 of the family's 1533-position model. The record is from RNAcentral.
GACGAACGCUGGCGGCGUGCUUAACACAUGCAAGUCGAACGGAAAGGCCCUGCUUUUGUGGCGAGCGGGAGAGGCGAGCGGGUGAGUAACACGUGAGGCACCUCCCCUUGAGAUUGGGAUAACAUAAUGAGACUGGGACUAAUACAGGACAUGAGCUCCUUCUGCAGGGGGGGGAAGGGUUAGUGUCGGCGGUUGGGGACGCACCCGAGGCUUAUCAGCUUGUUGGUGUGGUAGUGGAUUACCAAGGCUAUGACGGGUAGCCGGCCUGGGAGGGUGACCGGCCACAUUGGGACUGAGAUACGGCCCAGACUGCUACGGGAGGCAGAAGUGGGGAAUAUUGCAAAAUGGGCGGAAGCCUGAUGCAGCGACGCCGCGUGGGGGAUGACGGCCUUCGGGUUGUAAACCGCUUUCGACUGUGACGAAGCGCAAGUGACGGUAACGACUAAAGAAGCACCGGCUAACUACGUG